GACAGAGGUGCCGAGCGUUAGGCGGAAUCACUGGGCUUAAAGCGUGUGUAGGCGGGUCCGUAAGUACCUUGUGAAAUCCCACGGCUCAACCGUGGAACUGCUCGGUAUACUGCGGGCCUUGAGCCAGCUAGGGGCAACCGGAACAAACGGUGGAGCGGUGAAAUGCGUAGAUAUCGUCUGGAACGCCGAAGGUGAAAACAGCUCGCUGGGGCUGCGCUGACGCUGAGACACGAAAGCCAGGGGAGCGAACGGG
RNAcentral lists this ribosomal RNA (253 nucleotides) under uncultured bacterium. RNAcentral's name for it is "partial 16S ribosomal RNA". It matches the Rfam family "Bacterial small subunit ribosomal RNA", at positions 524 to 776 of the family's 1533-position model. The record is from RNAcentral.